RNAcentral lists this ribosomal RNA (1143 nucleotides) under uncultured bacterium. Its description in RNAcentral is "bacterial SSU rRNA". It matches the Rfam family "Bacterial small subunit ribosomal RNA", at positions 167 to 1307 of the family's 1533-position model. The record is from RNAcentral.
UACCGCAUACGCCCUGAGGGGGAAAGUAGGGGAUCUUCGGACCUUACGUUAUAAGAGCGGCCGAUAUCUGAUUAGCUAGUUGGUGGGGUAAUGGCCUACCAAGGCGACGAUCAGUAGCUGGUCUGAGAGGACGACCAGCCACACUGGAACUGAGACACGGUCCAGACUCCUACGGGAGGCAGCAGUGGGGAAUUUUGGACAAUGGGGGCAACCCUGAUCCAGCAAUGCCGCGUGAGUGAAGAAGGCCUUCGGGUUGUAAAGCUCUUUUGUCAGGGAAGAAACGGUGAGGGCUAAUAUCCUUUGCUAAUGACGGUACCUGAAGAAUAAGCACCGGCUAACUACGUGCCAGCAGCCGCGGUAAUACGUAGGGUGCAAGCGUUAAUCGGAAUUACUGGGCGUAAAGCGUGCGCAGGCGGUUAUGUAAGUCAGAUGUGAAAUCCCCGGGCUCAACCUGGGAAUGGCAUUUGAGACUGCAUGGCUAGAGUGUGUCAGAGGGGGGUAGAAUUCCACGUGUAGCAGUGAAAUGCGUAGAGAUGUGGAGGAAUACCGAUGGCGAAGGCAGCCCCCUGGGAUAACACUGACGCUCAUGCACGAAAGCGUGGGGAGCAAACGGGAUUAGAUACCCUGGUUAGUCCCACGCCCUAAACGGAUGUCUACUUAGUUUUCGGGAUUAAAUUGUCUUGGUAACGCAGAUAACGCGUGAAGUAGACCGCCUGGGGAGUACGGUCGCAAGAUUAAAACUCAAAGGAAUUGACGGGGACCCGCACAAGCGGUGGAUGAUGUGGAUUAAUUCGAUGCAACGCGAAAAACCUUACCUACCCUUGACAUGUACGGAACCUCUGAGAGAUUAGAGGGUGCUCGAAAGAGAGCCGUAACACAGGUGCUGCAUGGCUGUCGUCAGCUCGUGUCGUGAGAUGUUGGGUUAAGUCCCGCAACGAGCGCAACCCUUGUCAUUAGUUGCUACGAAAGGGCACUCUAAUGAGACUGCCGGUGACAAACCGGAGGAAGGUGGGGAUGACGUCAAGUCCUCAUGGCCCUUAUGGGUAGGGCUUCACACGUCAUACAAUGGUACAUACAGAGGGCCGCCAACCCGCGAGGGGGAGCUAAUCCCAGAAAGUGUAUCGUAGUCCGGAUUGUAGUCUG